RNAcentral lists this long non-coding RNA (602 nucleotides) under Mytilus galloprovincialis (Mediterranean mussel). The record is from RNAcentral. Lineage: Eukaryota; Metazoa; Mollusca; Bivalvia; Mytilida; Mytilidae.
UUUUUAUUUAUUGAAGAAUUAUGCAAUACUUUACAAAUAUAAUAAUGUUUGCAUUAUAUUGAUCUUCAAUGAAGAACAUAUGGGUUUUGCUUUGGGGCAUCAACUUUCGUGAAACUUACAAUUAUUGAUAUUCAUCCUUGUUCAUCCAAUAAUCCUUUAAGAUCCCUGUGAUUGUUUUUAAUAAACUUCACAUACCUUGAAAAAAAUUUAAGAAUUUAAAAAAAAUCAGGGGAGCAACCAGGAAUGUGACAACAGUAUUCAUGUAUGUAUUGAUGAUUCUGUAAUAUGAGAAACAUUUUUAAAGCAACAACAAAUUGAGUGUCAAUGAUUUUUUUAAUCAAAUAAAGAACACUUAUACAUUAUAGUUAUUCCCCUGGUGGAGACAAUUUUGGGUUGUUAUGAAGAUGAUAAUACUAUUGUCACUCUCUUGUAUGGGAAUUUUUGAGGAUAUCUAAAGACUUUUUGUCUGCUUAGAAUUAAACGAAUAUAACAUGUACAAAUGUACAUGUAUGAAGAUGAUCUAGGAUUUUUUGUAAGGUACAUGUAUGUAAAUUUUUUUCAUUUGAAUUGUUUCACAUUUGAUCAUGAAUCCCUAUCACUCA